RNAcentral lists this unclassified non-coding RNA (426 nucleotides) under Hevea brasiliensis (rubber tree). Lineage: Eukaryota; Viridiplantae; Streptophyta; Magnoliopsida; Malpighiales; Euphorbiaceae. The record is from RNAcentral.
UAACGAUUUCAAAUGAAAACCGAAUAUGGAGCUGGAUACAUAAGCGCAACAACAAAUUUAACAAAGUUUUACAUUUCUUGAUUGAAGGAGAACGAAAGAAAAGGAGGGUGGGAUCGUAAAUAUUUCCGAAGAGAAGAGCUAGAACUCGAAAUAGAAAAUAAAAACCAAAACCCAUGCUAGAUCUACAAUAUAGAACAGUUACUAAUUAAAAACCAAUUUCAACGCAGUAUACUUUAACACUCAUUUCUUCAGCAUUUUGUGAUCCGACGAAAAGAUAAUCAAUUUCCUCAACUAAGCAUAACCAGAACAAUUUUCUAGACCUUUAAUUUAACAAAAGCUCCAGAUUUGCUGUUAUCUUUCAUUUUCCCUCAACUUUCUCGCCUACCAAACAGGAAUAAGAGUACCUUGGACUUAAAAUUGGAAGGG